GAUCCUGGCUCAGGAUGAACGCUGGCGGCAUGCCUAAUACAUGCAAGUCGAACGGAGUGAAGCCUUCGGGUUUCAUUCAGUGGCGAACGGGUGAGUAAUACGCAGGGAACCUGGCCAUGGCAGGGGGAUACACUCUGGAAACGGAGCAUAAGACCCCAUAGGCAGUAAGGCGGCAUCGCCUUACUGUUAAAGAAAGCUGAAAGGCUUUGGCGAUGGAUGGACCUGCGGUGCAUUAGCUUGUUGGUGAGGCAACGGCUUACCAAGGCGAUGAUGCAUAGCCGGCCUGAGAGGGCGGACGGCCACACUGGGACUGAGACACGGCCCAGACUCCUGCGGGAGGCAGCAGUAGGGAAUUUUCGUCAAUGGGCGCAAGCCUGAACGAGCAAUGCCGCGUGAGUGAGGAAGGUCUUCGGACUGUAAAGCUCUGUUGCCGGGGAAAAAGGGGAAAUGCAGGAAAUGGCAUUUCAUGGAUGGUACCCGGCCAGAAAGCCACGGCUAACUACGUGCCAGCAGCCGCGGUAAUACGUAGGUGGCGAGCGUUAUCCGGAAUGAUUGGGCGUAAAGGGUGCGCAGGCGGUCUGUUAAGUCUGAAGGCAAAGGGAUGAGCUCAACUCAUUUAUGAUCCAGAAACUGGCAGACUUGAGGACAGGAGAGGGCGGUGGAACUCCAUGUGUAGCGGUAAAAUGCGCAGAGAUAUGGAAGAACACCAGUGGCGAAGGCGGCCGCCUGGCCUGUGACUGACGCUGAGGCACGAAAGCGUGGGGAGCAAAUAGGAUUAGAUACCCUAGUAGUCCACGCCGUAAACGAUGAGGAGCAGGCGUUGGGAGUGAAAUCUCAGUGCCGAAGCCAACGCAGUGACUCCUCCGCCUGGGGAGUAUGCACGCAAGUGUGAAACUCAAAGGAAUUGACGGGGGCCCGCACAAGCGGUGGAGUAUGUGGUUUAAUUCGAAGCAACGCGAAGAACCUUACCAGGUUUUGACAUCGGAUGCGAAGGUGCAGAGAUGCGCUGGAGGUUAACAUCCAGACAGGUGGUGCAUGGUUGUCGUCAGCUCGUGUCGUGAGAUGUUCAGUUAAGUCUGGCAACGAGCGCAACCCCCGUGGUAUGUUACUAACGCUUAGGGCGAGGACUCAUAUCAGACUGCCGGUGACAAACCGGAGGAAGGCGGGGAUGACGUCAAAUCAUCAUGCCCCUUAUGACCUGGGCUACACACGUACUACAAUGGCGUCUACAGAGGGAAGCGACCCUGAGAAGGGAAGCGAAACCGGAAAAGGGCGUCCCAGUUCGGAUUGAAGUCUGCAACCCGACUUCAUGAAGAUGGAAUCGCUAGUAAUCGCGGAUCAGCAUGCCGCGGUGAAUACGUUCCCGGGCCUUGUACACACCGCCCGUCAAACCAUGGAAGCCGGCAACGCCCGAAGCCGGUGGCAUAACCUUUUAGGAGUGAGCCGUCGAAGGCGGGGCCGAUGACUGGGGUUAAGUCGUAACAAGGUACCC
RNAcentral lists this ribosomal RNA (1492 nucleotides) under uncultured bacterium. RNAcentral describes it as "16S ribosomal RNA". It matches the Rfam family "Bacterial small subunit ribosomal RNA". The record is from RNAcentral.